AUUUUCACCAGGAGGUAUUACUGAGCCAUCGUGCCUGGGUCCUCUGCCCUCCUGUCUGUGCUGGAAGUCAGUGCUCCAUCCUCUGAACCCUCUGUUAUGAUUAUGCCUGGAUGGUCAUUGGGCCCCUGUUUUGUUUCUUGAAAUCAACAGUGGAAGCAAAGAUGUCCUGGGAGAGGGGAAUUCGUGCCCUUAGAAUAGCUGCAUGGAUGAAACAGAGGAUGAAAAAGCUUGAACACAAAUGUCUUGAUAAUAAACACAAAUGUGUUUAUUGCCAUGUAUUAAAGUGGGAUUUCUGCAAUUACAAUAAGAUGCUGCCAAAGAAGAAUGAUCUGUGGAAUACAAGUGAAUGCAGUGCUGAUGAGCAUCCCGAAGUCCCACAGGAGGUUAGAAAGAGCACAACUUGCAUUCUGCUUUUUACCUCUGUUUUUAUCUCACAGCUGAGAGGGGAUGACAGCAGGAGAAGCGAGGGGCUGAUGGAGGGCUUCUCUCUGCUGUAGGGUGUUCUUGCUGCUUGCUGAUUGCCUGUGUGGCUGCGUCCAGCCUGGAGGGCUGCAAAGAGAGUUUGCAUGUCACCGCGUGGUAAUUAUUUCUACUCCUCUCCCGCUUUUUCCUAAUUGAUUAUUGGUUCUCCCUGCAAAGUGAAAGUGAAACAGACAAAGGAGGCAUUUGUCUUUGUCUUGUCUGAGAUAUUCCCGACGGGCAGUGAAAGCAUUUCCACUGUCUGUUGGUGGAUUUUGCUCUCCCUCUCAACAAACUCUUCUGCACAUGAAAAAAAAGCUCCAUCUGAGCAGUUCUACUAACAAGCUUCUUGGCUGCUGGCUGGAUUAAGGCGAAGUUAGGCUUUGUCUGAUCUUAAUUAAUCCCAGGCAGUGCUUCUAUUUCUGCUGUUGGCCGGUCAAGAGAGGCGGGUGGAUAGCCAGUAUGCUCUGACUACAUCAUGCCGUGCCUGCUGCAUGAAGAUGUUACCUGUGCUGUAAACCUGUCACGUUAUUCUUUGGAGAAGGGAAUUCUUAUUUUCUAAUCCAUAUACUUACACAAAGCAGUUACUCCUCUUACAUGCGAAGUGCUUCAUAAUCUCAUCUUCAGCCUUCAAGCAUAAAAGCAGGAAAGUUAUCCUAUUCCAUACUUAACUACUUGUGAGUAUUGUUGGUACCAAAUAUGAUUACUACGUGGAAGAUUACCUUGCGGUUAUCUUUCUCUUGGAAUAAUGCAGGAAGAAUGUCAGAUACAAAAUGAUUUUGGAAGUUUUGAAGCAGCAUUUACUGCUACUUUAUACUGCGUGCGACUUCAGAC
Long non-coding RNA from Tympanuchus pallidicinctus (lesser prairie-chicken), 1293 nucleotides. RefSeq lists it as uncharacterized. The record is from RefSeq and is a predicted model, not a curated record. The transcript is spliced from 3 exons. NCBI's taxonomy places the organism in Eukaryota, Metazoa, Chordata, Aves, Galliformes, Phasianidae.